UGCGAGCAUUGGAGGAGGGUGACUGGAGGUUAUUAGAAACCCUUGGAAUGCCAAAUAGAUCUGAGGAUUCUGGGGGUAACCGGGGAGCUGUUACACUCCAUCCGCAGGCUGUGCCAGAAGUUCAGGAUGGUACUGGUUCCCCAAAAGAGAUCCAAGCUUUCCCAGUGUAUAAGGCUCUCCCAGAUUCAGGGGAGCAUGACAAGCAUGAGGUAAUUGCUUGGAAAGUUGCCCAGGACCUCCAAUCCAAGGUGGCACAAUAUGGGCUAGGUUCUGCUGAGGUUAUGCAGAUAAUAAGGGUGAUAAAUACAGAUUUACUUGCUCCAUUUGAUAUCAGACACUUAGGUCAAAUUCUAUUUCAACCUGUACAAUUUACAGUUUUUGAGAAAACCUGGAGAAAGCUGGCCGGCAAGGCUGCAUUAGCGAAUAUGCAGCUCCCUGCUGCGGAUCCUAGACAGACAGCAGGAAUGGAUGCUUUGAUGGGGACUGGUCCCUUCUCUGAUCCCAGUCUACAGGGUAACUUGUCCUCUAGCGUCCUGCAGCAAGCUCAACAGGUUGGCAUGGCUGCCCUGUUGAAAACCAUAGAGCUGCCUGUGCCCAGAAAGCGAUAUACUGAAAUAGUUCAAGGCAAAUCAGAGUCAUUCCUCUCUUUUGUAGAGAAAGUCGCUACUUCUCUCGAGAAGCAGGUUGAGGAUGACGGGUUAAGACAGUUGUUGUUAAGGCAGUUAGUGAGAGAUAACGCAAACAAGAAGUGCAGAAAAAUCAUAGAUGCCUUACCAGGGGAUCCUGAGGUAACAGACAUGGUCGAAGCCUGCGCUAAGGUGGGAUCUGGGAACCAGAAAAGGUCUGCUUUGGCUGCAUUCCUGAAGUCUGUUCACACAUCUUCUGGUCGUGAACCAAAGCAACCAAAACAGGUGAAGAAACGGAAGCGGCCUAAGCCUAGCCAAAAAGAGAACACACCGAUCCCCCAGUGCAAGAGGUGUGGCAGGGCAUUGCUUGGACUAUUGUAGAUCCCAGACUCAUGCCGAUGGUCGGCCGUUGCCGGGAAACUUCCACC
Molecule: long non-coding RNA, 1054 nt
Filed under: Corvus moneduloides (New Caledonian crow)
Lineage: Eukaryota; Metazoa; Chordata; Aves; Passeriformes; Corvidae
Description: lncRNA (ENSCMUG00000018805.1)
Source: RNAcentral